ACUGGGUGUGUUGGCACAUAUCUGUAAUCCCAGCAACUUGGGAGGCUGAAGCAGGAGGAUCAUGAGUUCAGUAACCUCAGCAAAAGCAAGGCACUAAGCAACUCAAUGAGACUCUGUCUCUA
This 122-nucleotide small RNA is filed under the name Marmota monax (woodchuck). The record is from RNAcentral. Lineage: Eukaryota; Metazoa; Chordata; Mammalia; Rodentia; Sciuridae.